RNAcentral lists this long non-coding RNA (1693 nucleotides) under Brassica rapa (field mustard). RNAcentral's name for it is "long non-coding RNA (BRAP_LNC004538)". Lineage: Eukaryota; Viridiplantae; Streptophyta; Magnoliopsida; Brassicales; Brassicaceae. The record is from RNAcentral.
GGACCAGUCACGGCUAUAUAAUUUGUUUCUUUUUGCAUCUUUAGUGGAAUUGAUGUCAUACAAAUAACUGAUUACUUGGUGUUUGAUUGAUAACAUUUGAAUUAGUUGAUUUAUAAUAUAUGUUUUGUAGACUGGUAUAGUUAAAUCUUUUUUUGAGCAAUGGUAUAAUUAAAUCAUAUACUCGUUAUAGUGUUAUUUUUCACUUGAGUUUCAGUUUUGAUUUGUGUGUAAUAUUGUUCAUUAUGGAUACUCAAAAGCGCUGAGCUGUAUAUCGUCAUUUCACAAAUUUACUUUUUGGUAUGAAUGUUAAAUUUUAUACCAUUUUGAGUUUUUGACAGAAGAUACAGAGAAAACUAGUAGCAGGAACAAGUAAAGACAACUAAACAACACCAAAAUACAAAAGGAAAACACAGUAAAUAGUAGAAAUGCAAUAACUGAUACUGAUCUUGAAUAACAGAACAACUCUCUUUGCCUAGGAUCGCAGUGAGCCAAGAGCUGGAGUCUCAUUGUUGUGGCUGCUAAGUUGCCGCGAGUUUACGGAGAAUUGGCCAGCCCUCAAAACCACUCCGGACCUACAGCUUCAUCACAUACACGCCUUUGAUAACCUGCAAAAUUAGCACACACAUCUUCCAAGUUUCACAAUGGCUCAAGCGAAUGCAUUCGGAGUGAACGGUUCGGCCCGGUAAAAACCGGAGAUCCGGAUAAAGGUGAAACUGUAUGCCUCUGUUCCACCGAUCUAGCCAAAACCUUUGCCGCACAGUUAGCUAAUCUGUGCUACCGCAUGAAACGUCAACUCAUCCGCCGAGUACCACUGCAAAACACAUAAAUGCUGGUCACACCAGACAUUGAUUGACUGUUGCGCUUCUUCUCCAUCCUACCAAGCCAAGCAUUCAUACAAACCACUGCUCUUAUUCGGAAAGACGCGUGAAAGGUAAAGUUUGCCACACCAUCGAACUGCCCAACAAAGAAGAAGCUUCAAGCCCAUGAAAUCCUCUGCGCAUAUCACUUCUUCACGGCCAGAGAAGCAAGUGUGACGCCAUCAGCUAUCCACACGCGCGUAGAUAGCCCCACACACCACUGCAAACCCGCAGAAUUCUUCCUCGUGCACAGCCAACAUAGAAGAUUGAGAGUAGAAAAACACCCAGGUAACAACUCUCAAACUCAUGUUUCAUGGUACAGAUCUGGAAUGGAGGGUGAGCGUAGGGAACAAACGUCACUUCCCUAACCCAUCUCCAACAACCGUCUGACCAACGAUAGUCCCCGCACUAACACACCCCGAGAUAUCCCUAACCCGCUCAAGCUACCAUCGGAGAUCUAAACCCGACUGGCUAGAAACAGAGACAACUUACAGGUACAGUCCUCAAGCACCAUGCCACCGCCUGCGAACAGCCAUAUCCGAGAAAAGCCUCCAGAUCUGAGUCGGGAAGAGGACAUCCCCCGUCGCCGAGCCAACCACCACCGACCCCUAACCCUGCCUCGCCGAAUCACCACCAAGCAGAGAUGCGAGCAUAUCAACAGAGAGGGAGAAGGAAGGUGAGAGGCGAACAUAAAGAAAAAACACAGAGGCCGGCGGUAGAGGCGACUGCCGCCACCACCGGCAAAAUUAGGGUUUCGAAGCUUUGGUCUCAGAAAAGGGGAUGAGAGAAAACUUUUCUAAGAGAGAGGAAAAUUGCUCACCCCUAUGCACUAAUUC